GCGAAGUUCGUCCGCCGGACUCGGAAUGGCCCCAGACUUUGUGGGCGGCCUCCGUGUGCCAAAAAUAGGCCACGGGCACAGCCGCGCCCAAAAAUGAGCGCCCGAAGGUCGGGGCGCCAACACCCCCCAGCGGAAAAAUGGCCAAAAAACGGGUGGGCUAUAGCCUUGGCGGGGGGCGUGGGCGAAGUUCGUUCGCCGGACUCGGAAUGGCCCCAGACUUUGCGGGCGGCCACCGUGCGCCAAAAAUAGUCCACGGGCGCAGCCGCGCCCAAAAAACGAGCGCCCGAAGGUCGGGGCGCCAACACCCCCCAGCGGAAAAUUGGCCGAAAAACGGGUGGCCUAUAGCCUUGGUGGGGGGCGUGGGCGAAGUUCGUCCGCCGGACUCGGAAUGGCCCCAGACUUUACGGGCGGCCUCCGUGUGCCAAAAAUAGACCACGGGCACAGCCGCGCCCAAAAAUGAGCUCCCGAAGGUCGGGGCGCCAACACCCCCCAGCGGAAAAUUGGCCAAAAAACGUGUGGGCUAUAGCCUUGGUGGGGGGCGUGGGCGAAGUUCGUCCGCCGGACUCGGAAUGACCCCAGACUUUGCGGGCGGCCUCCGUGUGCCAAAAAUAGGCCACGGGCACAGCCGCGCCCAAAAAUGAGUGCCCGAAUGUCGGGGCGCCAACACCCCCCAGCGGAAAAAUGGCCAAAAAACGGGUGGGCUAUAGCCUUCGUGGGGUGCGUGGGCGAUGCUCGUCCGCCGGACUCGGAUGGCCCCAAACUUUGCGGGCUGCCUCCGUGUGCCAAAAAUAGGCCACGGGCACAGCCGCGUCCAAAAAUGAGCAUCCGAAGGUCGGGGCGCCAACACCCCCCAGCGGAAAAAUGGCCAAAAAACGGGUGGGCUAUAGCCUUCGUGGGGGGCGUGGGCGAUGCUCGUCCGCCGGACUCGGAAUGGCCCCAAACUUUGCGGGCUGCCUCCAUGUGCCAAAAAUAGGCCACGGGUACAGCCGCGCCCAAAAAUGAGCAUCCGAAGGUCGGGGCGCCAACACCCCCCAGCCGAAAAAUGGCCAAAAAACGUGUGGGCUAUAGCCUUGGCGGGGGGCGUGGGCGAAGUUCGUCCGCCGGACUCGGAAUGGCCCCAGACUUUGCGGGCGUCCUCCGUGCGCCAAAAAUAGGCCACGGGCACAGCCGCGCCCAAAAAUGAGCGCCCGAAGGUCGGGGCGCCAACACCCCCCAGCGGAAAAAUGGCCAAAAAACGGGUGGGCUAUAGCCUUGGCGGGGGGCGUGGGCGAAGUUCGUUCGCCGGACUCGGAAUGGCCCCAGACUUUGCGGGCGGCCACCGUGCGCCAAAAAUAGUCCACGGGCGCAGCCGCGCCCAAAAAACGAGCGCCCGAAGGUCGGGGCGCCAACACCCCCCAGCGGAAAAUUGGCCGAAAAACGGGUGGCCUAUAGCCUUGGUGGGGGGCGUGGGCGAAGUUCGUCCGCCGGACUCGGAAUGGCCCCAGACUUUACGGGCGGCCUCCGUGUGCCAAAAAUAGACCACGGGCACAGCCGCGCCCAAAAAUGAGCUCCCGAAGGUCGGGUUCCAACACCCCCCAGCGGAAAAUUGGCCAAAAAACGUGUGGGCUAUAGCCUUGGUGGGGGGCGUGGGCGAAGUUCGUCCGCCGGACUCGGAAUGACCCCAGACUUUGCGGGCGGCCUCCGUGUGCCAAAAAUAGGCCACGGGCACAGCCGCGCCCAAAAAUGAGUGCCCGAAGGUCGGGGCGCCAACACCCCCCAGCGGAAAAAUGGCCAAAAAACGGGUGGGCUAUAGCCUUGGUGGGGGGCAUGGGCGAAGUUCGUCCACCGGACUCGGAAUGGCCCCAGACUUUGCGGGCGGCCUCCGUGUGCCAAAAAUAGGCCACGGGCACAGCCGCGCCCAAAAAUGGGCGCCCGAAGGUCGGGCCGCCAACACCCCCCAGCGGAAAAAUGGCCAAAAAACGGGUGUGCUAUAGCCUUGGCGGGGGGCGUGGGCGAAGUUCGUCCGCCGGACUCGGAAUGGCCCCAGACUUUGUGGGCGGCCUCCGUGUGCCAAAAAUAGGCCACGGGCACAGCCGCGCCCAAAAAUGAGCGCCCGAAGGUCGGGGCGCCAACACCCCCCAGCGGAAAAAUGGCCAAAAAACGGGUGGGCUAUAGCCUUGGCGGGGGGCGUGGGCGAAGUUCGUUCGCCGGACUCGGAAUGGCCCCCGACUUUGCGGGCGGCCACCGUGCGCCAAAAAUAGUCCACGGGCGCAGCCGCGCCCAAAAAACGAGCGCCCGAAGGUCGGGGCGCCAACACCCCCCAGCGGAAAAUUGGCCGAAAAACGGGUGGCCUAUAGCCUUGGUGGGGGGCGUGGGCGAAGUUCGUCCGCCGGACUCGGAAUGGCCCCAGACUUUACGGGCGGCCUCCGUGUGCCAAAAAUAGACCACGGGCACAGCCGCGCCCAAAAAUGAGCUCCCGAAGGUCGGGUUCCAACACCCCCCAGCGGAAAAUUGGCCAAAAAACGUGUGGGCUAUAGCCUUGGUGGGGGGCGUGGGCGAAGUUCGUCCGCCGGACUCGGAAUGACCCCAGACUUUGCGGGCGGCCUCCGUGUGCCAAAAAUAGGCCACGGGCACAGCCGCGCCCAAAAAUGAGUGCCCGAAGGUCGGGGCGCCAACAGUCGCCAGCGGAAAAAUGGCCAAAAAACGGGUGGGCUAUAGCCUUCGUGGGGGGCGUGGGCGAUGCUCGUCCGCCGGACUCGGAAUGGCCCCAAACUUUGCGGGCUGCCUCCGUGUGCCAAAAAUAGGCCACGGGUACAGCCGCGCCCAAAAAUGAGCAUCCGAAGGUCGGGGCGCCAACACCCCCCAGCCGAAAAAUGGCCAAAAAACGUGUGGGCUAUAGCCUUGGCGGGGGGCGUGGGCGAAGUUCGUCCGCCGGACUCGGAAUGGCCCCAGACUUUGCGGGCGUCCUCCGUGCGCCAAAAAUAGGCCACGGGCACAGCCGCGCCAAAAAAUGAGCGCCCGAAGGUCGGGGCGCCAACACCCCCCAGUGGAAAAUUGGCCGAAAAACGGGUGGCCUAUAGCCUUGGUGGGGGGCGUGGGCGAAGUUCGUCCGCCGGACUGGGAAUGGCCCCAGACUUUGCGGGCGACCUCCGUGUGCCAAAAAUAGGCCACGGGCAC
This 3156-nucleotide long non-coding RNA is filed under the name Citrus x clementina. Its description in RNAcentral is "Citrus clementina (C. clementina) long non-coding RNA (CCLE_LNC006186)". Lineage: Eukaryota; Viridiplantae; Streptophyta; Magnoliopsida; Sapindales; Rutaceae. The record is from RNAcentral.